Molecule: ribosomal RNA, 253 nt
Filed under: uncultured bacterium
Lineage: Bacteria
Description: partial 16S ribosomal RNA
Rfam family: Bacterial small subunit ribosomal RNA
Source: RNAcentral
UACAGAGGGUGCAAGCGUUAAUCGGAAUUACUGGGCGUAAAGCGUGCGUAGACGGUCAUGUAAGUCGGGUGUGAAAGCCCCGGGCUCAACCUGGGAAUUGCAUUCGAGACUGCAUGGCUAGGGUGCGGAAGAGGGAAGCGGAAUUUCCGGUGUAGCGGUGAAGUGCGUAGAUAUCGGAAGGAACACCAGUGGCGAAAGCGGCUUCCUGGUCCAGCACCGACGUUCAGGCACGAAAGCGUGGGGAGCAAACAGG